Molecule: ribosomal RNA, 497 nt
Filed under: uncultured bacterium
Lineage: Bacteria
Description: partial 16S ribosomal RNA
Rfam family: Bacterial small subunit ribosomal RNA
Source: RNAcentral
GAUGAACGCUGGCGGCGUGCCUAAUACAUGCAAGUCGAGCGAACAGAUGAGGAGCUUGCUCCUCUGACGUUAGCGGCGGACGGGUGAGUAACACGUGGAUAACCUACCUAUAAGACUGGGAUAACUUCGGGAAACCGGAGCUAAUACCGGAUAAUAUAUUGAACCGCAUGGUUCAAUAGUGAAAGACGGUUUUGCUGUCACUUAUAGAUGUAUCCGCGCCGCAUUAGCUAGUUGGUAAGGUAACGGCUUACCAAGGCAACGAUGCGUAGCCGACCUGAGAGGGUGAUCGGCCACACUGGAAGUGAGACACGGUCCAGACUCCUACGGGAGGCAGCAGUAGGGAAUCUUCCGCAAUGGGCGAAAGCCUGACGGAGCAACGCCGCGUGGGUGAUGAAGGUCUUCGGAUCGUAAAACUCUGUUAUUAGGGAAGACCAAAUGUGUAAGUAACUAUGCACGUCUUGACGGUACCUAAUCAGAAAGCCACGGCUAACUACGUG